RNAcentral lists this long non-coding RNA (3179 nucleotides) under Medicago truncatula (barrel medic). RNAcentral describes it as "long non-coding RNA (MTRU_LNC005096)". The record is from RNAcentral. Lineage: Eukaryota; Viridiplantae; Streptophyta; Magnoliopsida; Fabales; Fabaceae.
GUAUUCUCACUUAAUGCAUACCAUAGGUUUUGGAGCAAAACCUAUUCAUGUGAACAAAAAGUGAUUUGGCCGAGUGAUUCUUGGAAUUGUGAUCACAGUGCUAUUUCAUUUGGAUCAUUUUCACCUUUUUCUGUCAUAUUCUUUCUUUUGAAUUCGUUUUCUUUAUUAGUGAAUUCAAUAAUCUGAGACCACUCCCUCCCUACUGUAUCUUAACUGCUUCAUUUCUUCCUCUUAGCAUCAUUGGAGUAUGGAACGGACCAAUUACUAGGAGACACCUUAGUAGAAUCACUCUUCAACAAAAACCGCAAAAUCAUGUAUAUUUUCAACACAAUUUUGAUGGUUAAUAGAUAUAAUAGUAUAUUUUAAUAUCUGAAAAAUCUUGUUUAAUGACGCUGAAAAACAUGUGGUUAAAUGUGUUCAAUUCAUUGUUAAUGAGCUUCGAGAACUUGUUAUAUUCAGUAGCCAUCACUAAACAUAAUUAACCAUAUGUUUGAAUUGUGUUAACCAUCUAGGAUUCUUCUAGGACAACUUGUUUUUUAGAAAUAAUAAAGAUAUGUUUCUAGCACUUUGUGAGUUUGGAGGGGGAAGGGGAAGUGAAGGUUUGAGAGGUGGAAAAUAUAAAAGGGAAAAUAGAGAAAUCUUUUAAAUUUUUAAAAGAAUAGUUUUUUAAAAAAUGAUAAAUUAAUGCAUAUGAUUACUAUUUUUUUAAUUUUGAAAAUAGUAGAACAACAUAUAUUAAAUUUGAAGAAUUCGUAUAAACCCCCCAAAACUCUUAUUCAAUACAAUUUUUUAGUUUCUCAAAACAUGAGUUUUGUAUUAUGAAGAAAAGUUAACCCCCUAAAGCCCUCCCCUCCCCUCCCACUUUCCUCUAUUUCUUCCACUUACUCCUUCCUCUUUUUUUUCAAACCCUCUUCUCUAUUCCCCUCCAAACUCACAAAUAAAACCUAAGAGAACCAUCACGACAGAGAUAGGGCAUCCGUUAUUUUGAACGUGCAGCUCAAACUUCGCCUCAAGACAUGUAACAACACUUUCAUGGAGACAAGUUUAGUUAAAUAAACUUAUAUGUAAUCUUGUGCGUCAAUUGUUUUUCUUUUUUUGUGAUGCGAGUUUGUUAUAAUCAAAAUUCAUUCAAGUCUACGAGGAGGAAUAAUUUUCAUGUUGUUAGUUGCUUCAAUGGUUAAGGUAGCUAAAAUUAAAUAAUAAAAACAACAAUUUAUAAAAUUUUUACAAGUUGACUUGAUCACUUUUUAUCAUUUUCCAACACAAAAUUUCUAUUUUUGUUCCUUUAACAUUUCCCAUUUUUUAGAAAUGUUUAUGAACUAAGACCAUCUUCAUGUAUAUGAAAUAAACAUAUGUUUAAAAAUAUUUUUCAUAUGUUUAAGAAUUAAAAAUAUCAAAAUAAUUUUUUAUAUGUUUAAGAAUUAAAAAUAACAAAAAUUUUGAUAUAUGUUUAUGAAUUAAAAUCAUCUUCAUGGAGAUAAGAAAUACUGUUCACUUAACAGAAUUUUGAAUUAAAUUAAUUAAAAACGAAUACAGAAUAAAAAAAAAUAAAAAUAAAAAGUAUUCAAUUAAUCCGUCUCUAUAUAAAUUCAAAAAUCUGUCAAAGGAAGAGAAAUUUCAUCUCCAUAUGACAAUUGACCAAAGGGUCUGUGCCACCAACCACAAGGGGCAGCUGAAUACAUGUUACUUCCUGCGCUGGCUUCCGCUUUUUAUAUUCACACAUUUGCCUUGUUUCUUUCUUUACGCCCGAUGUGGGACUUAAAUAACUGCGUAAUACAAAGACAAAGUUCAGCAGCCUCUUAUAGCAGCAUAUGUGAGAGAGUCUACUCUUUUAUUUCUGUGUGCUUUUCUUAACCACAGUGGAUCCAAUUUCCAUUUCUUCCUAUUACCAUCAAUGAGGUAUCGUUGAGGAAGCUAUAAGAUUAAUCUUUGUCACCAUUUGAUAUUGUGAAAGAAUAAUUUAUCUCUAUGAAAUAUUGAUCUUAACAAGGAUGGGUUAUCAAACAGAUAAAGUGAGUAGCAUGCAUGAAAUUCUAGAACCAAUUAAACAAUCCUUUAGUACAAUUAAUUUCAUAAACUUCAUGCUUGAAUUUAUUUUUUAUUUACCAUGAACCUGAUGUAUAAGUAUACGUUUAAGAUACAGACAUCACAUUAAAUUUUAUAAAAGAAUCUUACAAAAAAAAAAACUCAAAUCUUAUGCAAAAGAAAGAGGAAGAUAUAUAAUGCCUCAGGCAAUGCCUUGUUGCUUAAUAAUCUUAGAUCAACACAAGUAAACAUUGAAAAAUGGUGCUGAAGUAUUAAGCACGUCGUCAUGGUUACAUCAAAACAUGCACUGUAUUAUUCUUUCCCUUUUCCUUGAGAUGGAACCUAGUCCUAGAUUAAGAUCAUGUUACAUUGGAACUAAAACUUCCAGUGCCUAUGUAAGUUAUCAGAUUUUACGCUACCUUUAUGAACCUUUUUCUUUCCUACAUGAUCAACUUUAUCUUUAGACUUGGUCUCUGUGGAUUUUCUUGUGUCCGGAGGAAUAUCGGUAGUGUCAUGUGAUUUCACUUUACAUUGAGCAAGAGCAUGUCUAUUUGGUAAAACAGUACUAUUCUUCGAUACGUAAACUCUUCCAUUUCCAAUCUUGUUUCUGCUCCCAAUCAUUAAGUCAUUUUCUGUAUACAAAAUUGAAACAAAAUUUUGAGGUCAUAUCCAAAAAGCUACAUAAUAAACCUUGAAUAACACAGAAAGUAGAUGCAAAGUGAGGAAACUAGAAUCAGCAUAAUUGAUGGUGCUUUCAAUAAUUACAAAUUUUCGACUAUGUUAAAGCAUCGCAUUCUCUGCACAGCCACUAACAACGAAUUGAAUUUUUUUCUCCAGCAGCUAGAAGUGAAAAUUAUUUUAGAAUAUUUCAAGUUUCUUGUGAGUUAACAGAAGUAAGAACCGUGCUUAUCUGCUAUAUAGAUAUCUUAAGACCCUGUAUUCUCACUUAAUGCAUACCAUAGGUUCUGGAGCAAAAUGAAGUGCAUUAUAAUUCAGGAAGCAAUGACACUGCACAAUGACACUAAUACAUUUCACAUUAAGAAAACUCCAAAAGCAGUCUCCUAACAAUAUAAUAUUACUUAACAGAUGUCAAUGCCACAACCACAAGCUCAAAAUUCAAGUUUUCCCUAAAAUAUUCCUUUUCUUUUCAUUUC